UUAAACUGUAUUUCGGCACGAACAGGGAAAGGCUCAUGAGACUGUACUCUGUGGGGGUGGAAACCGGUCUGAACCAUCCCUGUAACUGCUGAGCGCCGUCUGGGACCUGCCGCACACUAGCUGAGGGUGAUGGACCCUGCUGCUGUGCACAAAGUCCACACAGAGGACUUCCCGAGGCAAAGUCCCCCCUUUAUGACACAUCUCUCCUGGGUCUGGAGCACCAUGCUUUGUGAGAUAAUAGAGAGCCAUGUCGAUGAAUAAUAGGCGUGUGACAGACAGAUGCUAUGUCCAUCCUAAGAGUCAUAUGUGUUCUUUGGUUCUCCUAGAAGCCACUGUGGUAUCCCAGGGCCUUGCCACAGCCACUGACAGAAAAAUGAUGAAUAAAAAUAAUACGCGUGAACUGCUGUUAUUCCUGCAUUCCAGAAUUCAAACUGCACCAUAUUCAAAGAUGAGAAACCAGGCCCAAAGAGGUUGUGAAUUGUCAAGAUCACUUAGGGGUGGAAGUGAAACUCUCACCCUGGGCUUCACAUUUCCGAUUCACUGUUCAUUCAUCGAGUCCAUGAGAGAAAAGGAAAGGGCAGAAGUAUGAAAUGUCACCAAUAGCGAAAGAGCAUGAUGCAAAUGAGAAACAGAAAAGCUCUCCACAGGAGACUUAGAAGACUACAAAAAUCAUUCCGUUCAGUGUCAUGACAAAACAGUGCCCGAGGAGCUUUACAAUCGAGUGCCAGUCCUAGCCUGGGCAACAUGGAGAAACCCCAUCUCUACAAAAAAUUACCCAGGCAUGGUGGUGCGCACUUAUAGUCCCAGCUACUUAGGAGGCUGAGUCCCUGAGCCUGGGAAGUCGAGGCUGCAGUGAACGGUGAUUGUACCACUGCACUCCAGCCUGGGCAACAGAAAAAGACCCUGUCUCAAAAAAAAAAAAAAAAAAAAAAAGAGAGUGCCAACCCUGGAGUGCGAGUGGUCGGGGCAAAUCCCAUCUUCUCCCAACAACCAGUAAGCCGUGGGGCAAACUUCUUAACCUCUCCAAGCCUCAGUUUCCUCAACCAUGAAACGGGGAUGACGGUAGUAUUAUUUUCAUACAGACUUUGUGAAGAUCAAAAGAUAAUGAUCCAUGGCAAAGAGUUCUCUCAGCACAGUGCCUGGAGCACCGUGCAGUGCGUAAUCAGCAUGUGCUGCUGCUAUUAUGAUUGCCACAGAGCUGCUACAACCAGGGUAAACCAGUUUUUCUUACAAGAAAAAUGGAAUAAAAAAGUUGUUGGUGCUUUUCUAUGUUUGGGAAAGUAUAUCUGUUUUCUCUGGGGCUGAAUGAAUAUAUGCAUCGUUUUGAAUUUCCCACAAUAAAAAAAGCAUCAUUUUGCUUUUGUCUUUGGUGGAUCAUGCUUCCUUCCAACGUCAACUCACUCUUCCCUCUAUUGGUGAGAAAGUCUCAGUCUUAGUUUCACAACUAAAACACUCUCCGCGCUAACAGGCUCAGACAUAGGAUGGAAAAAAUGAACUUACAUUUCAUUGCUUUUUUUUUUUUCUUUGGACAGGGUCAUGCUCUGUCACCCAGGCUGGAGUGCAGUGGCACCAUCAUAGCUCACCGCAGCCUCAAACUUCUGGGCUCAAGCAAUCCUCCUGUGUCGGCUCUCAGAGUAGCUGGGACCACACAGGUGGGUGCCAUCAUGCCUGAUUCUUUUUUUCUUUUUUUUUGAGACAGAGUCUCGCUCUUUCGCUCAGGCUGGAGUGCAGUGGCAUGAUCUCAGCUCACCACAACCUCCGCCUCCUGGGUUCAAGUGAUUCUCCUGCCUCAGCCUCCUGAGUAGCUGGGAUUACAGGCGCGUGCCACCAUGACUGGCUGAUUUUUGUAUUUUUAGUAGAGAUGGGGUUUCACCGUGUUGGUUAGGCUGGUCUUGAACUCCUGGCCUUGUGAUCCACUCACCUUGGCCUCCCAAAGUGCUGGGAUUACAGUCGUGAGCCACUGCAUCUGGCCUUGACUAAUUCUUUUAAUUUUUAGUAGAGAUAAGGUCUCACUAUGUUGCCCAGGCUGGUCUUAAACUCCUGGGCUCAAGCAGUCCUCCUGCACUGGCCUCCCAAAGUGCUAGGAUUAUAGGCAUGAGCCACCACACCUAGCCUACAUCUCAUUACUUUUGUAUUCCUUAGGAAGUCAACUGUAUUUGGAUUAUAGCUGAGAUUAGGAAUUCUCAAUCUGUAAGCAUUCAGGGGCCAACAUGCUUUUCUCACCAUCUGUCAAAUGGGCACCAUUAGCUUCAAUCAUUCAUAGGAGUGGGGAACUGCAGGCUUCAGGUAUGAUUUAUUUGGCUGUCAGUUGAUAGUCCUCUGACCACUGGUCCAACGGUUUCAAGACAAACCUCCCCUCUCUCCUUCCCCAUGUGGAUUUCUGUGGCUAUCUCACUGAGAGACCUGAUCCUGAAGAGUUUUACAUUCUUGGCUAUUUUAAGCCUCACUAACUGUUCAAAUGAGGUCGCCACAUGGCAUGCAGCUGUGGGAAGCAGCUGCUGUGGUUUGGUUUCUAGUCAGUAUGUCUUGACAUUUCUUGUCAAGUGAUUUCUAAAAUUCCUUGGGUUUUUUUUUGUUUUUUUUCAGGUAACCAAGAACUUCUUUUUUCUUGGGGAAUAAGGUGUGACGUGUGCAUCUGAUAACCUGCUCCUCGCUGGGGACGGUUCCAGAACCCUGCCAGACUUGAUCUUAGCCAAAAGGCCGAGAAGCGAUCAGAAACCUGCUAGAAAGGAACAUUUAUUUCACCUUUCAGGACCCAACUCUCCCUGCCCCAGAAAUAUCAGUCCUGGGGCUGAGAGACACUGCCGCGGCUCUCCCUGCAGUUUCUAAUUGGAGCCCAUCCUGGAGUCUCAGAUGCCACAGAAGAAAGUAGAGAGAAUUGGGCAGCUUGCUGGGCUCCCUGGAGCUACCUUCAGUGACAAUAGCUAACAUGGAGGAGAGGCAGGGUCACUCAGCCUGAGGAGAAAUUGGACCGCCCAACUCCUCACCUACCCGCCCUUCUCUCUAGGUCAUUCAGCUAUUUGUCUCCUAGAUCACCCUCAUACACCUGUUUGCCACAAUGGUUUUGCCUUUAGGCUUUUGCACAUGCUAUUCCCUGCCUGGAAGACUCUUGAUCUCUUUUCCAGAUCAACUUCUAUUUAUCAUUUUUUCCUCAAUAUUGGCAUCACUUUUAGGAGCCUUUCCAAUCUUCCAAGAAAGGGUUAACUGCCCCUUUGAUGUAUAUCCCCUAUUAAUGUACUUAACACAUUGCAUUGUAAUCCCGUCUACUCAUCUGGUUCCUCCACCAGAUUGUAAACCCUGGGCAAGGUCUGGGUUCUGUUCACUGUUUUAUCCCUACUUCUGGCUCAGCAUAUAAUAGCUCCUCUGUAAAUAUCAGCUCUAUAUUGUUCCGAACUCAACAAGAACUCCCUCUCUUCCUUUCCCUCCAAUAUAUUUCUUAGAUUACAUCAAAUUAUUUGCCCUUCAAUAGCCUCUAAGUCUUCUAUUUUAAUGUAUCAAAUAUCUAUUCAAAUAAAGUCCUUUGUCAGUUAUGAGUUUGAAAAAA
Molecule: long non-coding RNA, 3544 nt
Organism: Pongo pygmaeus (Bornean orangutan)
Lineage: Eukaryota; Metazoa; Chordata; Mammalia; Primates; Hominidae
Exons: 4
Source: RefSeq, a predicted model, not a curated record